RNAcentral lists this ribosomal RNA (867 nucleotides) under Listeria monocytogenes. Its description in RNAcentral is "bacterial LSU rRNA". It matches the Rfam family "Bacterial large subunit ribosomal RNA", at positions 1 to 862 of the family's 2925-position model. Lineage: Bacteria; Bacillati; Bacillota; Bacilli; Caryophanales; Listeriaceae. The record is from RNAcentral.
UUGGUUAAGUUAGAAAGGGCGCACGGUGGAUGCCUUGGCACUAGGAGCCGAAGAAGGACGGGACUAACACCGAUAUGCUUUGGGGAGCUGUACGUAAGCGUUGAUCCAGAGAUUUCCGAAUGGGGGAACCCACUAUCUUUAGUCGGAUAGUAUCCUUACGUGAAUACAUAGCGUGAGGAAGGCAGACCCAGGGAACUGAAACAUCUAAGUACCUGGAGGAAGAGAAAGAAAAAUCGAUUUCCUGAGUAGCGGCGAGCGAAACGGAAAGAGCCCAAACCAAGAAGCUUGCUUCUUGGGGUUGUAGGACACUCUAUACGGAGUUACAAAAGAAAGUUAUAAAUGAAGCGGUCUGGAAAGGCCCGCCAAAGACGGUAACAGCCCGGUAGUUGAAAUGGCUUUCCCUCCAGAGUGGAUCCUGAGUACGGCGGAACACGUGAAAUUCCGUCGGAAUCCGGGAGGACCAUCUCCCAAGGCUAAAUACUCCCUAGUGACCGAUAGUGAACCAGUACCGUGAGGGAAAGGUGAAAAGCACCCCGGAAGGGGAGUGAAACAGUUCCUGAAACCGUGUGCCUACAAGUAGUUAGAGCCCGUUAAUGGGUGAUAGCGUGCCUUUUGUAGAAUGAACCGGCGAGUUACGAUUUGUUGCAAGGUUAAGCGGAAAAAGCGGAGCCGUAGCGAAAGCGAGUCUGAAUAGGGCGCAUAAGUAACAGGUCGUAGACCCGAAACCAGGUGAUCUACCCAUGUCCAGGAUGAAGGUAAGGUAAUACUUACUGGAGGUCCGAACCCACGCACGUUGAAAAGUGCGGGGAUGAGGUGUGGGUAGCGGAGAAAUUCCAAUCGAACUUGGAGAUAGCUGGUUCUCUCCGA